Molecule: RNA transcript, 1400 nt
Organism: Glycine soja
Lineage: Eukaryota; Viridiplantae; Streptophyta; Magnoliopsida; Fabales; Fabaceae
Gene name: lipid phosphate phosphatase gamma-like
Exons: 2
Source: RefSeq, a predicted model, not a curated record
UACUGGACUAACUUUUCUUAUGCCAACCUCAAUUUCAUCAUGGCUCAAAGCUUUAUAUGGAUUGACCUUGUAUUAGGCCAACCCAAGUCCAUCACAUGGCAACCCUGCAUUAGGUUGACCUUAAAUCCAUCAUGGGAUGAGCUUUAUAUAGGUUGAACUUAGCUUCAUCACAACUCAAGCUUUCUAUUAGGUUGACAUUGUAGGUCCAAUAGAAAAAGUUUAUCAAGUUUUUUGAGGCCUUGAAAAAUCAUCAAUGCUUCCAGAUGUAACGUAGCAACGGGGGAGAGAAGAUCUGUUUCACUUUUCACACCAAACCCCGAUCUGAGAUCUUCUCUUGCCCUCCCACAACAAUGACAUCCCCGACGGCGCUGAAGGCCGUGACGCUGACGCACGUGCGCUACCAGAGGGGCGACCGCGUCGGCCACUUCCUGGCCUGGAUAUCCCUUGUCCCCGUCUUCAUCUCCCUGGGCGGCUUCGUCUCUCACUUCAUCUUCCGCCGCGAACUCCAGGGCAUAUUCUUCGCCCUCGGCCUCAUCGUCUCCCAAUUCAUCAACCAAGUCAUCAAGACCUCCGUCCAGCAGGCCCGCCCCGCCACCUGCGCCCUCCUUGAGAUGUGCGACUCCCACGGCUGGCCCUCCAGCCACUGCCAGUACAUGUUCUUCUUCGCCUCCUACCUCACCCUCCUCUCCCUCAGAGGCGGCCUCUCUUUCUGGCACGUGCGCGACAACCCCCCCCCCUCCACCUCCUCACGUGGUCCCUCGCGCUGCUCACCAUGUAUUCCCGCGUCUACUUGGGGUACCAUACGCUGGCUCAGGUUUUCGCUGGGACCGCGCUUGGGGUUUUCCUCGGCGCGGUUUGGUUCUGGGUUGUGAACUCCGUUUUGUAUCCGUACUUUCCGGUUAUUGAAGAGAGCGCGUUUGGGAGGUGGUUCUACGUGAAGGACACUUCUCAUAUACCUAAUGUGUUGAAGUUUGAGUACGAUAUGGCCAGGGCUGAGAGACGGAAACUGGCAUCGAAUUCUAAGUCGGAUUGAGUUGGCACAUUGCUCUGAAUUUUUCUUCUAGGAUUUGCCUUCACAAGUAUUUAUGGCAGUAUUAUUAUAGCUUUCUUCUCUGGAGCUUUCCACUAUAGAAGCCAUCUGGCUUGGCUCAGCCGUUCAGGUAUAAAUGGUAUCUAUGAAGAGGGCAGCAGAGCACACUGAUAUGGUACUACGGGUCUAUGAUGCCUGUGAAAUAGAACUAAUGUAACAAUAGAUGGUUUUACUUGAUGUUAUAGAUAGACAAAUGAAUAGUUUGUCUUGUUUUCUUACAUGGGUUUUUUACCACAUACAUUGACACAAAUAAAACUGAGGGUUUUUUUAAAUUAUUGAUAAAUUUAUAAAUAUUUGUUUUGCCCCUAAA